ACCCUUUAAUGUUUGAUGUUCUAACGUGGACCCGUGAUCCGGGUUGCGGACAGUGUCUGGUGGGUAGUUUGACUGGGGCGGUCUCCUCCUAAAGAGUAACGGAGGAGCACGAAGGUUGGCUAAUCCUGGUCGGACAUCAGGAGGUUAGUGCAAUGGCAUAAGCCAGCUUGACUGCGAGCGUGACGGCGCGAGCAGGUGCGAAAGCAGGUCAUAGUGAUCCGGUGGUUCUGAAUGGAAGGGCCAUCGCUCAACGGAUAAAAGGUACUCCGGGGAUAACAGGCUGAUACCGCCCAAGAGUUCAUAUCGACGGCGGUGUUUGGCACCUCGAUGUCGGCUCAUCACAUCCUGGGGCUGAAGUAGGUCCCAAGGGUAUGGCUGUUCGCCAUUUAAAGUGGUACGCGAGCUGGGUUUAGAACGUCGUGAGACAGUUCGGUCCCUAUCUGCCGUGGGCGCUGGAGAACUGAGGGGGGCUGCUCCUAGUACGAGAGGACCGGAGUGGACGCAUCACUGGUGUUCGGGUUGUCAUGCCAAUGGCACUGCCCGGUAGCUAAAUGCGGAAGAGAUAAGUGCUGAAAGCAUCUAAGCACGAAACUUGCCCCGAGAUGA
RNAcentral lists this ribosomal RNA (606 nucleotides) under Salmonella enterica. RNAcentral's name for it is "partial 23S ribosomal RNA". It matches the Rfam family "Bacterial large subunit ribosomal RNA", at positions 2202 to 2807 of the family's 2925-position model. Lineage: Bacteria; Pseudomonadati; Pseudomonadota; Gammaproteobacteria; Enterobacterales; Enterobacteriaceae. The record is from RNAcentral. RNAcentral also lists the same sequence under 1 other name.